UACGGAGGGGGCUAGCGUUGUUCGGAAUUAUUGGGCGUAAAGCGCGCGCAGGCGGUUUCUUAAGUCUGAUGUGAAAGCCCCCGGCUCAACCGGGGAGGGUCAUUGGAAACUGGGAAACUUGAGUGCAGAAGAGGAAAGUGGAAUUCCAAGUGUAGCGGUGAAAUGCGUAGAGAUUUGGAGGAACACCAGUGGCGAAGGCGACUUUCUGGUCUGUAACUGACGCUGAGGCGCGAAAGCGUGGGGAGCAAACAGG
RNAcentral lists this ribosomal RNA (253 nucleotides) under uncultured bacterium. Its description in RNAcentral is "partial 16S ribosomal RNA". It matches the Rfam family "Bacterial small subunit ribosomal RNA", at positions 524 to 776 of the family's 1533-position model. The record is from RNAcentral.